UAACCUGCCUGGUAGCGGGGGGUAACUAUUGGAAACGAUAGCUAAUACCGCAUAACAUCGACAUUGCAUGAUGUUGAUUUGAAAGGGGCAAAUGCUCCACUACCAGACGGACCUGCGUUGUAUUAGCUAGUUGGUGAGGUAACGGCUCACCAAGGCGACGAUACAUAGCCGACCUGAGAGGGUGAUCGGCCACACUGGGACUGAGACACGGCCCAG
Molecule: ribosomal RNA, 216 nt
Filed under: uncultured bacterium
Lineage: Bacteria
Description: partial 16S ribosomal RNA
Rfam family: Bacterial small subunit ribosomal RNA
Source: RNAcentral